GACGAACGCUGGCGGCGUGCUUAACACAUGCAAGUCGAACGGAAAGGCCCUGCUUUUGUCGGGCGCUCGAGUGGCGAACGGGUGAGUAACACGUGAGUAACCUGCCCUUGACUUUGGGAUAACUUCAGGAAACUUGGGCUAAUACCGGAUAUGAGCUCCUGCUGCAUGGUGGGUGUUGGCAAGCUUAGGUGGUUGGGGCUGGAUUCGCGGGUUAACAGCUUGUUGGUGGGGUAGUGGAUGACCAAGGCCUUGACGGGUAGUCGGCCUGAGAGGAGGACCGGCCACAAUAGGACUGAGAUACGGACCAGACUCCUACGGGAGGCAGCAGGGGGGAGUAUUACCCAGUAGGCGGAAGCCUAAUGCAGAGACGCCGCGUGCGGGAUCUGGGCCUUCGCGGUGUGAACCGCUUUCGCCUGUGACGAAGCGUGAGUGACGGUAAUGUGUAAAGAAGCACCGGCUAACUACGUG
RNAcentral lists this ribosomal RNA (468 nucleotides) under uncultured bacterium. RNAcentral describes it as "partial 16S ribosomal RNA". It matches the Rfam family "Bacterial small subunit ribosomal RNA", at positions 28 to 507 of the family's 1533-position model. The record is from RNAcentral.